Long non-coding RNA from Venturia canescens, 1253 nucleotides. RefSeq lists it as uncharacterized. The record is from RefSeq and is a predicted model, not a curated record. The transcript has 2 exons. Lineage: Eukaryota; Metazoa; Arthropoda; Insecta; Hymenoptera; Ichneumonidae.
UAGAGAACCAAACUGAUGGACGAACGAGAACAAAUUUUCGAUAGAAAUUUCGAAAAUUUUCCAAGAUAUUUCGAUUGUUUAAAGCAGCGAAUAGUUCAAGGCUUUCCGUAUUUCAUCGUGUUCUCAAUGAAUUUACAGAACACGCGUCGUCACACCCUCCAUUCAUUUUGAUUAUUCCCACUGCCUAAAUGAAUGACUUUAAAAAAUAAAAAAAAUUAACGAAAUUUAUAUUUUUAUUUGCAAAUGAGAGAAAAUUUAAUAUUCAAUUUUUUAAAUCACAAAAUUGAAUGUAAAGUAAUAAAAAUAAAAAAAAAAAACAAUAAACGUACGUAACAUUCAUAUUAAAGAUCCUGAUUUUUCAUAUAUUUAUUCAUUCGUUUAUUUCAUUUUUUCUAUUUGUAUAUAUUCAUUCAUUUUGAUAUUAUUAGGAUCUUCAGGGGCUUCGCUACUUUGCUAAAUUUUUCAAUGCUCAUCACAAAAAAUAGAUCGAAAAAAAAUAGGAUUAAAAACCGGUAUAAUAAUAUCAAGAAUUCACAAAUACGCAUGCAUGUCAAGGUAAAUCGUCUAAUAAUUAAUUGAUGAUUUAAAAGUUGUAGGUGUUCAAUUAAUUAGUACUGAAAUUUCACAAUGAAAUGAUUUUCGUGACUGAUUGGCAGGAGGCAAGCAAUUGACGAAUUUAAUCGAUGGUAUAACGCAUGACAAUAACAGGAGCAUUCGUGUGGAGCCCUAUGGAGAUUUUACAUCUGAUUCACAAGCCGAUUGGGGUCGAGUCAUGUGGGUUGUAUUGACGAUGCUUUUUCAUACAAGCGAAAACCGUGGCCGCCGUGUCGAACGAGUGCAACAUUAGAUCGAAUAAUGGCCACCCGAAGCGUUUGCCUCGCUAUUACCUUCAUCAUCGUUAUUAUUGAUCGAACGUAUAACUGAUACGGUAACCGAGCGUUUAUACAACACACAUCAGGUCCAUACAGCGGACGAAUCCGCGCAUUAUCGAUUCGCUGGUCCAUAGUUCAAGACUCGAUCAACCAUGCACCCGCAAGUGGAUUAGGUUCAAGAUCAGACUUAUCAGAGUUAUGGCUUGAAGGCUGCGAGGCAGAGUAGCUCGGGAAAUAGAAGCUGGUCAAAAUAAUAAUCAGAAUUUCGGUUUUCAACUGACUUUCUUUGUCUUUCGGUGCUAACUGUCCAGUCGAGUAUUUUUCUGAGUUGAGUUUUUCUGUGCAAAAAUAAAAGUUGCAAAAUUGUUUCGUCUUCGUUGA